AGAUAAAAGCUGAGGGGCGGCAGGAGGGUCAAAUAAAAGUUGCUCUGCAGUUCGCUCCUCCAAGCCGCACAGCGACCGCAGGGGGGUGAGAUUCCCAAAGCCACUUUCACACCUUCGAUAAUGCACUAGCAAAGAGAAGCCCGGAGAGGCUGAAGUUUCCACGCAGGGCACCGUCGGGGAGACGCAGCCCGGGAGGACGGAAGGGUUGGGCUCGCUACCUCUGCACACCGGCGAGCCGGGGCUCCGUCGCUCAGGAAAUGUUUCAGCUACAUAUAAGGGGCUCCUGAAGCACAGCAAGAUAAAAAUAGAGUUUCCAUUACCAGUACUGGGAAAAGCUUAGCACUUAGGAAGUCACUCCUGUCUGCCAUACCCUGAUUUUCAGCAGAUCACCUGUUCUCCUGGGACUCCUUGAGUUUCACUUACCUCCAAAGACUCGUUGCCGUCUACGUCUGAAGUUUUGCCUCUUGCUGCCACUCUUUCUUCAUGUGCUGUAUCUCCUAUGAAGCAAAAGAAAAAAAUAAAACUUUAC
Long non-coding RNA from Hippopotamus amphibius kiboko, 529 nucleotides. RefSeq lists it as uncharacterized. Lineage: Eukaryota; Metazoa; Chordata; Mammalia; Artiodactyla; Hippopotamidae. The transcript has 4 exons. The record is from RefSeq and is a predicted model, not a curated record.